ACUCCUCAUGGCACUACCUACCAGGAACAUCACACAUGUUCUCUGCUUUGUAGCUCUUCUUGUUAUAUCUACCUCCUUGCCUUCUACUACAGCAACGAGGGACAUAGGUAGUUUAAUUUUGGACUCAUUUGUUAUUUGGAUAUUCAAGUUUUAUAUACUUCGUACACACAACACAUGGCACUUCCUCUCUAUGAACGCAGGUACUAGGGAUGAUGGUGGAAAACUGUGUUUCCCAUUUGAAGAAUGCGUGGACCCAUGGCAGUAUGCGUGGGAUGAUUGCCAAAACCGAUGUGUAAAGCAUGGUUAUGACUUGUACAAAAGCUACUGCAAUAAGCACAAUGGUGGUGCAUGUUGCUGCAUAAAGUGAAUGCCAUGUUAUACUAUGGGAAAAGUUGCAUCUAAGCUAGGCUGAAUAACCCAAGAUUUGGUAAAUAAUACAAGGAAUUCAAUAAAGUCUGCUUGUCAAAAUUAUUAUUCAUGGGAUGAUUAAUGUGGCUGUUAGUUGUUGAUGGAUUGAAUGUUCAAGGAUAUCAUGCACCAAAAUAUAUUUUUGUCAACAAUGAACCAAAAUGGCUCAGAGUGCCAUAGAUAUUUGAUUUA
RNAcentral lists this long non-coding RNA (600 nucleotides) under Hordeum vulgare. Its description in RNAcentral is "long non-coding RNA (HVUL_LNC002126)". The record is from RNAcentral. Lineage: Eukaryota; Viridiplantae; Streptophyta; Magnoliopsida; Poales; Poaceae.